GGGUCGAAUCGUAGCUGUAGCCACCGGCCUACGCCAGAGCCACAGCAACGCAGGAUCCGAGCCGCAUCUGCAACCUACACCACAGCUCACGGCAACGCCGGAUCGUUAACCCACUGAGCAAGGGCAGGGACCGAACCCGCAACCUCAUGGUUCCUAGUCGGAUUCGUUAACCACUGCGCCACGACGGGAACUCCCCCACUAUCUUUUUUAACAAAAUUAAAAAUAAUACCAAAAUCUCAUCUUGUAUCUAUAUAUUUAGAUGUUCCAAUUGUCCCCAAUAUGUCAUUUGUAGCUUUUUUAUGAACCAGAAAUCAAUAAAGGUUCACAUGGUAUGUUUUGUUACAUCUCUUUAGUUUCUUUUAAUAUGGUUUAGUCUUCUUAUUCUGCAUAUGUAUAUCUCUGUUUGUGAGACUGAUAUUUUUAUGUUUGUUUUUUCCUUUUUGACUGCCUUCUUGCGGCAAUGCUGGAUCCUUAACUUGCUGAGGGAUCGAACCUGCAUCCUCAUGGAUAGUAGCCAGGUUCUUAACCCACUGAGCCACAAUGGGAACUCUUUUUUUUUACAAGAGAAAAGAGCAAGCCACAGAACAAACAGCUGAAGACAAGAGGUUGGCUUAUUGGUCAACAUUUUUCUUUAUAUACUUAUUGUCAUAACCUUUGGUUUUGUGAUGUAGAGCUACUUCUGUCAAUUUAGAUUCAAGCAUAAUGAUAAGACUUUGAGAAAGAGCACAGAAAUAACAUCAUGUUUUGGUUCACUGCCCUCUGAGAAAAUGAUUUGUAAGUUGACAAAGCAAGAAGAGCUAAUAUAUUUAGCAAAAGCAACUCAUAGAGGAAUAAUAAAGGGGUCAAAACCAGGCAUUUUAGAAAUGGAAAUUAAAGAACUUUGGGAAAUUAUUUUCACAAAGAUUAUUUACCAGUUAAUAUUGAUAAUAACAAGUACUAAUAGUAACCAUAAAUUUAGAGAACUCGCAUCAUAAUCCUCAAGUUUUAUAAGGUGAAAUUAUGUACUUAAUGCAGGAACUAGUUUCACAGGUAGAUGGUUAUAGUGUGAAACAAACCAGGUGUUUGAGUUUUAUAAAUAUAUUUUUAUUGUGUAAAAUGUAGCCAUUUGAAUAAUUCAUAGGAAUCUUGUUCUGUUAAUAUUCUCUGUUGAAGAGAGGGUAAAUUAUUAUUAUAUUAAUAUUUUGUCUUUUUAGGGCUGCUCCCAUGGCAUAUGGAGGUUCCCAGGCUAGGGGUUGAAUUGGAGCUAGAGCUGCCGGCCACGGCCACAGCCACAGCAAUGCAGGAUCGGAGCCAUGUCUGCAACCUACACCACGGCUCGUGGCAAUGCCAGAUCCUUAACCCACUGAGCAAGGUCACGCAUCAAACCUGUGUUCUCAUGGAUACUAGCCAGAAUCGUUCCUACUGAGCCAUGACGGGAACUCCCAAGAGGAUAAAUUAUUUUUAAAGAGAAUUCUUUGGGGAGGGGAGGGGGAUUUGAACCCAUGGCAUAUGGAAGUUCCCACACCAGGGAUAGAAUCUGAGCCACAGCUGUGACCUGCAGCACAGCAGGAACUCCAAAAGGAGAGUUGUUUAUGCAUAGAAUGUGAGAUGAUUUUUUUUUUUAAAAAAGAUUUUUCCCUUUCAGAUAAUGGAUUCAGUUUGAUCAGUGUUUCUCAAUUUUGCACUAGUAAUGUUUUGAGCCAGAUAAGUCCUGGUUGUCUUACACAUUGUAGGAUGUUUAUUAGCACCGCUAGCCACUUGCCACUGGAUACAUGCCAGUAGCACCCUUCCCCAGCCCCACCCCUGGUUAUGACUACUAAAAACGUCUCCAGACAUUGACAAAUGUCUUCUGGGGGCAUUUUAUCCCUGUUUAAGUGUUGUUGAGUUGGAUAAAAGCCACUGGCAUGUGUGAAUUCCUUAAUGAUCUAGGUUUCACUUUAUAUAACCUAUGUAAAGCUGUUGAACACAGUUCCUUUCUGCAGCUUGGCUAUGCUCAAGUAUAUGUUGGAGAACACUGGAAUAUGAUGACAGUUGUUUUAGCUCUGUUAGAGAUUUUAUUGAAGGUGGAACUGAGCUCUUCAUUAGUGAGUCAAAAUAUAUUUCUUUUACUUUAUCUUAUCCCCCCCACCUCCCAGUUUGUCUGGGAAAGAACCUUAUUAGCUAUAUGUUAUGGAUAAAGUUUUUGUUUGGAAUAAUUGAGAAAUUUGGUAUCUUUGAGGUGAUCUGUUUGUAUCUUGGCAUUCAAAAAAGAUAGUUUUGGAAUUCUGUUGUGAUGCAGGGGAUUGAGGAUUUGAUAUUGUCAUUGCAGUGGCUUGGGUUGCUGCUGUGGUGUGAGUUUAGUCUCUGGCCUGGAAACUUCUAUUUGGCAUGGGCAUGGCCAAAAAAAGUCUUUAAAAAAAAAUGGUUGGUGGAGUUUCCCGUCAUGGCUCAGCAGAAAUGAAUCUGACUAGUAUCCAUGAGGACGCAGGUUCAAGCCCUGGCCUCUAUCAGUGGGUUAAGGAUCUGGUGUUGCCAUGAACUGUGGUGUAGGUCACAGUCGUGACUGAGAUCUUGUGUUGCUGUGGCUGUGGCAUAGGCCAGCGGCUACAGCUCUGAUUGGACCCCUAGUCUGGGAACCCCUGGUGGGGCCCUGAAGAAAAAAAAAAUAGUUACUUGCUAAAGGGCUUUCUCUUCUUUGUUAAUCUUUGUCCUUAAAAAUUUUCUUUUUUUCCUUUUUUGCCCUCCCCCACCCGAGGCAUAUGGAAUUCCCCCGCCAGGGAUCAGAUCUGAGCGGCAGUUAUGACCUAUGCCACAGCUGUGACAGUGCCAGAUCCUUUAAUCCACUGUGCCGGGCUGGGGAUCGAACCUGUGUCCUGGUGCUGCAGAGAUACUGUCAAUACAUUGUGCCACAGUGGAAACUCCAGAAUUUUUUUAAUUAUGUGUAAAUUCUGCCAAUGAGGAAAAUGAUGUAGGCAUCUUAUUAGGGGAAGGGAGAGGGAAUACAUACAGUUGGGAAAAGUGGAGUAAUGAGAAUGAUUUAAUAAAUAUUAGUUUAAAAGAUUGAAACAUCUCAAGUAAGAAUUUCAGAGGAGACCGCUUGGGAGGCCUCAGGCUCUGGCUAUGGUAGCCUUUGCUGCCAAGAAGGGAGAGAGAGAGGAGUGCAGGUUCAUUUUAACAGAGAUAAAAUAUAUAUAUAUAUAAACUGGGGGAAAAAAAAA
This 3176-nucleotide long non-coding RNA is filed under the name Sus scrofa (pig). RNAcentral describes it as "lncRNA (ENSSSCG00005016811.1)". Lineage: Eukaryota; Metazoa; Chordata; Mammalia; Artiodactyla; Suidae. The record is from RNAcentral.